RNAcentral lists this ribosomal RNA (498 nucleotides) under uncultured bacterium. RNAcentral describes it as "partial 16S ribosomal RNA". It matches the Rfam family "Bacterial small subunit ribosomal RNA", at positions 28 to 508 of the family's 1533-position model. The record is from RNAcentral.
GAUGAACGCUGGCGGCGUGCCUAAUACAUGCAAGUCGAGCGAACGGACGAGAAGCUUGCUUCUCUGAUGUUAGCGGCGGACGGGUGAGUAACACGUGGAUAACCUACCUAUAAGACUGGGAUAACUUCGGGAAACCGGAGCUAAUACCGGAUGAUAUUUUGAACCGCAUGGUUCAAAAGUGAAAGACGGUCUUGCUGUCACUUAUAGAUGGAUCCGCGCUGCAUUAGCUAGUUGGUAAGGUAACGGCUUACCAAGGCAACGAUGCAUAGCCGACCUGAGAGGGUGAUCGGCCACACUGGAACUGAGACACGGUCCAGACUCCUACGGGGGGCAGCAGUAGGGAAUCUUCCGCAAUGGGCGAAAGCCUGACGGAGCAACGCCGCGUGAGUGAUGAAGGUCUUCGGAUCGUAAAACUCUGUUAUUAGGGAAGAACAUAUGUGUAAGUAACUGUGCACAUCUUGACGGUACCUAAUCAGAAAGCCACGGCUAACUACGUGC